RNAcentral lists this ribosomal RNA (497 nucleotides) under uncultured bacterium. RNAcentral describes it as "partial 16S ribosomal RNA". It matches the Rfam family "Bacterial small subunit ribosomal RNA", at positions 28 to 507 of the family's 1533-position model. The record is from RNAcentral.
GACGAACGCUGGCGGCGUGCCUAAUACAUGCAAGUUGAGCGCUGAAGGUUGGUACUUGUACCAACUGGAUGAGCAGCGAACGGGUGAGUAACGCGUGGGGAAUCUGCCUUUGAGCGGGGGACAACAUUUGGAAACGAAUGCUAAUACCGCAUAAAAACUUUAAACACAAGUUUUAAGUUUGAAAGAUGCAAUUGCAUCACUCAAAGAUGAUCCCGCGUUGUAUUAGCUAGUAGGUGAGGUAAAGGCUCACCAAGGCGAUGAUACAUAGCCGACCUGAGAGGGUGAUCGGCCACAUUGGGACUGAGACACGGCCCAAACUCCUACGGGAGGCAGCAGUAGGGAAUCUUCGGCAAUAGACGAAAGUCUGACCGAGCAACGCCGCGUGAGUGAAGAAGGUUUUCGGAUCGUAAAACUCUGUUGGUAGAGAAGAACGUUGGUGAGAGUGGAAAGCUCAUCAAGUGACGGUAACUACCCAGAAAGGGACGGCUAACUACGUG